GACAAAGGGAUCUCAUUUCUCUUCCCAUGUAUUCUCAUAAGGAACCUUGUUUAGUUUGAUGUAGGAGAAGAUGGUGGCCUGAAAGUGGACGAUCACAUGCACACGUCUGUCUCUGAUAUCUAUGCGGCAGGUGAUGUCUGCACUGCAUCCUGGGAGCCCAGCCCAGUCUGGCAGCAGUAAACAGCCUUCCUCAGCUGAACACCUCCAUCCAACUGGAUGUAGACUUCCUCCUGCCCCCCCCAGUGUUGCCUCCCUCCUAGUGGUGGAGCAGAGACACAGUUGAUGUUACAGAUAAAAGAACCAGACAACACUCGGUGAGAGACCAGCUCCACAGAGGACUGUGGACCCAGGCUAAACAGAUGGGAUGAUACGCAGCCAAGUGCAUGGCUGUAGCUACUGUAGGACACUUGACAGAGACUUCAGCUUUGACCUUUUUGCUCAUAUAACAUUUUUUAACUA
Molecule: long non-coding RNA, 459 nt
Organism: Suricata suricatta (meerkat)
Lineage: Eukaryota; Metazoa; Chordata; Mammalia; Carnivora; Herpestidae
Exons: 3
Source: RefSeq, a predicted model, not a curated record